AGCGAACGCUGGCGGCAGGCUUAACACAUGCAAGUCGAACGCUCAUCUUCGGAUGGGAGUGGCAGACGGGUGAGUAACACGUGGGAACGUACCCUUUGGUUCGGAAUAACUCAGGGAAACUUGAGCUAAUACCGGAUACGCCCUUUUGGGGAAAGGUUUACUGCCGAAGGAUCGGCCCGCGUCUGAUUAGCUAGUUGGUGGGGUAACAGCCUACCAAGGCGACGAUCAGUAGCUGGUCUGAGAGGAUGAUCAGCCACACUGGGACUGAGACACGGCCCAGACUCCUACGGGAGGCAGCAGUGGGGAAUAUUGGACAAUGGGCGCAAGCCUGAUCCAGCCAUGCCGCGUGAGUGAUGAAGGCCUUAGGGUUGUAAAGCUCUUUUGUCCGGGACGAUAAUGACGGUACCGGAAGAAUAAGCCCCGGCUAACUUCGUGCCAGCCGCCGCAGUAA
Molecule: ribosomal RNA, 451 nt
Filed under: uncultured bacterium
Lineage: Bacteria
Description: partial 16S ribosomal RNA
Rfam family: Bacterial small subunit ribosomal RNA
Source: RNAcentral